UACGGAGGGUGCAAGCGUUAAUCGGAAUAACUGGGCGUAAAGCGCACGCAGGCGGUUGGACAAGUCAGAUGUGAAAUCCCCGGGCUCAACCUGGGAACUGCAUUUGAAACUGUCCGACUAGAGUCUUGUAGAGGGGGGUAGAAUUCCAGGUGUAGCGGUGAAAUGCGUAGAGAUCUGGAGGAAUACCGGUGGCGAAGGCGGCCCCCUGGACAAAGACUGACGCUCAGGUGCGAAAGCGUGGGGAGCAAACAGG
This 253-nucleotide ribosomal RNA is filed under the name uncultured bacterium. RNAcentral's name for it is "partial 16S ribosomal RNA". It matches the Rfam family "Bacterial small subunit ribosomal RNA", at positions 524 to 776 of the family's 1533-position model. The record is from RNAcentral.